GAAGUCUUCCAGGAGGAGGUGACCUGUGAAAGAAAGGAAAGUUGUGUUGAGUGAAGAGAAGUGAAAAGGCCUGAACAAAGAAUGUGAAGCAUCUCUGGGGAGAAAACUGGAUUGGGAAAAGAAGGCCUAGGAGAAGAUUUGAACCAAAAGGAAGAGAAGCACAAGACAAGAGGCCAUGAAAAAGCAAGCCACGCAUUGUGAACCAGGCCCUGUACUGCUCAAGGAAGGUGGGGGAGUGGAAUGAAAGUGAGUGAGAUGCUACUUCUGUUCUCCAGGACCUCACAGUCAACUUGCAGGAAGUGCUGCAGGGAGAUGGCUGUAGUGGCUUUGGGAAUGUGCACACUUUUCCAACAGAAAGAACCAGGAAUGCUGCAUGGGGAAGGCUUCCUGGAGGAGGUGAGGUGGAGCUGGUCCACGAAAAUUGAGUGGGAUUUCCAAGACAUCAGUCUUUUGCGGGAAAAGAGAAAUUAGGGCAUGGUUUUAAUUUAGUAAAUAUUUAUUAAUCAAGUACCCCCUUCUAGGGUCUGUGCUAAGUGUCAGGGGUUGGUAGAGCCAGGAAGCAUAAAAUCAACUUAAGACACUUGGGAAAGAUCUCCCUUUGUAUUAAGGAAGUUAAAUCUGUAUACAAUGAAAAGAAACAAGGCAAAAGGCGCGAAGUCCAUGACCAUGACGAGGGCUGUGAGAAUUGUAAAUAGGGAAUUUGGGCGGUCCUGGCUGAUUCUGAAUGAAAGUCCGGAGGGGCGUUGCUUUCGGGUCUCGACCUGCGUGUCCCCAGCCCUUGGUUGUCCCCUCCGCAGGGAGGUGAAGGCUGUUUAUGUAAUCGGCGGCGCCUCGCGGGCGACUGGGGGAACUGGCUGGGGGAGCCUGGCCAGGGCUGACUGCGCGCCCCUGGAAUCCGCGCUCCGGGCGUUGGCUCGUUCCCGCCCCGACACCUGGGCCCGCCCUCCCGCUGCGCAGCCGCCCGCCGGGCAGCAGGGUGGUCGGGCGGGCGACUCCCCACGCCUCCUGCAACACCGCCUUCUCCCUACUGGAGCGAGGCGGCUGGAAAAGCCUAGAGACUCCUUGUCCCAUCCGCCUCCCCAGUCCCCAGCCGGGCUAAAGGGAGGAAGAGGAAGGAAUCCACAAUCAUCCCAAACAACGGCGCAAAUCGUGGGUUUUACUGUCCAGAGUCAUGAGGAGACAUCAGCGUGUACCAGAGAAGGAGAAGCCAGAGAUGACAGUCCCUGCCUGAGGCCAUCUCUGGUCCACCAGACAACUUAGCACCGACUUCCCAACAGCCACUGCUCCGGGCCAG
Long non-coding RNA from Macaca mulatta (Rhesus monkey), 1294 nucleotides. Lineage: Eukaryota; Metazoa; Chordata; Mammalia; Primates; Cercopithecidae. The record is from Ensembl.